UGUGUGUGUGUGUGUGUGUGUGUGUACUGGUCACAGGUGCAUCCUCAGUCAUACAAACUAGAGGCUGCACAUUGGCUGCCCUGAACAAUUUCAUGUUCAACCCUUUGAAGCCUCUGAAAGAGACUUUAUAAAAUGUACAGGGGGCAUAGCCCACCUAAUUUACUGACGCACCACACAUAAGCAUGCACACACGCAUGCAUGCCACAUGAAGAGGAGAAGCACCAGAUUAAUGGUGGCGGUCCCCCGGAAUUUCACCCACAGCAAUAAAUGGAUGCAGCUGCUUCAGUCGCUAGAGAUGCUAUCCACAUCUGCUGAUCAUGUAUGCCUAGUUUCUAGUUCCAUAUUAGAAGUGGCACAUGCACUGCACAGUAAUGAGCAGGUCAUUCCCCAUUCGUUUUUUUGGGGGGUGGGGGGGCAGACUUAGACAAGACCUUAGAUGCAGUCUUUUUAUCAGAGCUUAGCAAGUUACAAGAGUAUAAAUCAAAGUAACACUCCGUACAAGCUGAAGGAGAGCAUCUGCUUGUAUGAAGAGUUAAAAUAUCUUGAAAUAGCUUUUCCAGAAAAGAUUCUGACCCCACCCUAUGAGCAGCCUGUUCUUCUUGAGGGCGAUAUGGCGGACACAUUGGACACUUAAUUGGUUUGUCUGCUUCACCUGUCAUCCCUACACAGGGUCAAGGAACUCUCUAGAACUCUUCCCCAUCCGGUUCUGAAAUGUCUUCUGCCUUUUCCAAGGCAGCCUGGUGCACUGUCUGAGGAUCUUCACAGGUAGCCCUGAAACUGCAAAGUCAUCUCCUCUCCUCUGUCCCUCCACCUCCUCCUCAGAAUCUGGGCAGACUGUAAUGUGCACAAGCUGGGCCCUUCCCUAUACACACAAAGGUUACUUGGCUGUUCCACUUCAAACGGUACAUAGGAUAUUUGCCUUAACACUAGUCUCAAAAACUGUUCAAAGGGAAAGGAUACAAGAGAUGAAGAAAUUACACAUUUUAUUGCAUUUAUACCCUGUCUUUUUACUCUCAUUAGGAAUGCAAAGGAGUCUACAGAGCCCUCUUCUCCAUUUGAGCCAAAGUCGCCUAGUGAGUUUCAUGUCCAACUAGGGACUAGAACCUGGAUCUCCCAAGCCCCAAUCCAACACUUUAGUCAUUGCCCACACAAUAUGUUCACAAAAUAAUCAGGAGUCUUAAAAGACACCCUACUAGGAAUCUCGGGCAACAACAGAAAGGAUUUUGCAUGAUAGGGUUAGGGUGAUCUUAGUACAGGAUCAUGCAUAAGAGAAAUACUUCCUUCCUGAUGAAAUAGCUCUCAGUUUUAGGUAAUUAUCCAUCCAAACUAAGCAUCUACUCAACAAGAAAAUAACUAGUCAGCCAAAAACCAUUCCAAUGAGAUAUGUGGCAAUGAUGAUGGCAAGCAGUGUCUUCACCUAAAUUGGAGACUAGAUAUUACUAGUUCUCCUGUACUGGAUUCUAAAUUCCAAGAGAAAAUUCAUAGCACGAGAAACAUUUCAGCCAAUACAGUACAGGCUAAAUAUUUUAUGCUUUACAUCCCUCUUGCAUUAUCUCCACAUUCUCUCUUCUACUUGACAGUGAUUAUUUAAUGACACCCCCAGAAAUUAGUAAAUUAUAGUGGGGUUUUUUAUUUAUGGACAUUGUAUGUUAAAUUACAAAGCAUAGCUUAGUUAAACAAAACAAAAAUAUAAAUUCUGUAAGUACCAGCUGGGAUUAAUGGCUAAGAAGAAUUCCAAGCAAAACAUUUCUUUAUCAUCCUUUCUCAACUUAAUGCCCUCCCACAAAUGUCUGACUACAAUUCCCAGCAUUCCAAGGCCUGCGGAAGAUUGGGGGAAGCUGUACUAAGCAUUAACAUCUUUAACACUGCAGUUUCAUUGUGAAUUAUUUGAUUCCCUGCAGAUUUUAUUUCUACUUCAACUAGGGAAAGACAAUUAAAUCACUACACUGCACUGACAGAAGUAAAAGCCAAGACAUCCUCAGAAACAUACAGCUUAUUACAUGAGAAAAGAGCAAGGAAAAGCAGAAAGCACACUGAAAUUUUCUACUUAUCCAAAAACCAUUUUAAGGUUGCUUUAGAAAUGAUUUCAUGAAGCGCAACUGCAGUGACCACAAAUUCUCAAAAACCAAGUGGCAUUUCAAAUAAAGCAAUGGAUGAAAAUGACUGCAUUGUUUUGGCAUCAGAAAGUCGAGAAUGCAUGUCUGCCCAUUUUACAUUAUGAAUAGUUUCAUGUUCGGAAUGUCUGCAGAGGACUCCCAUGCAUUUUUAAAGCAUUUCCGCACAGCAGGACCAAGUGAAUGAACGAAUGAUCCAAGGCUAUCUUAUGCGGCAACACUACUGAAGCUAAGCAGACGUGGACCAGACCCACAUGCACUAGUUCACUCCACCACUUUGGGAUAAAGCAGCAUGCAAGCGGGCUGUAUUUCCCAAUAUUUUCCUGGAAAAAAGGGUGGGUGGACAGAAAGACAGGGUUAGAUAUAUAACCCACAUAUUUUCUCCCUGCAGUGUAAGUGUAUGGAGAGAAACAGGUUUGCACUGAAGAUUUGUCUCAAGAGAGUUUUCUCAGUGGAAAUUAACAAAUUGAUCGGCUUGAACAUUUCAUUUUCACGGCUUUUCUAAUAUGCUUGUGCCCACUGGUCCAGUUAAUGGUUUUUAUCACACUUGUAUCUCACUCAUUCUCCAAGCACCUCGGAGCCGAUUUCACAGGAAGUUUCUUUUUUAUUCUCAGAGCCAUCUCAUGGGACAAAUAAUGCUGAAGCACAAUGACCACUCCGGUGUCACCUAGUGGGCCUCAUCACUGAGCAGGGAUCUGCUCCCUCUUAAGUACCGCAACUGAAGUCCAAAUGUGACACUGAAAACAAUCUCACCCGAACAUACACACAGUCAAUCCAAAGGCAAAAUACAUGUAUUACAGGGGAAAUUAUUCCAAGAAGACUUUGGCAUUCUGCUCAGAAGGAAGGAGAUGGGUGACUGUCUUGGAACUCUUCUGCAAAAUGAACCUCCCCUGUAAUAAGCUGUUAACUAUGACUCUAACACAUCAUACUAUUUUGGUUUUUCCAAACUUUCCAGAUAAGCCUUACCUCAAGUUUAACUAAAUGAAAGGAGGAUUAAGUUCCAGAGAGAGGAAGCAUGCAGAACAAAGUGCUAAACUUGUAUUUUAUUCAGUUGCAUAAGGCAGCUUUUCUAACCACUUCUAAAGAUAAAAAUCUGUGCUUCAAAUGGAAUUACAAAGAGAUAUUUGAAUACCUCAGUUGAAGGGAAUACUGUUAUAAUUACUGUUCUUUCUUUGUCAUCUCAGCACAACCUUCUGAUAUAUUUCACUUACUUUUUUGACAUAAAUCACCACUAACAGAAAACUGUUGACAAAUCCCCAAAGUAAUGUUCAACUCCCUCAUGGAUGGUAGGGUAGGUUUAAAAAAAGAUAAGGUUUUUUCCUCCUUAAGCAAUCCAUUUUAAAAAUGCAGCAUGUGAGAUGGUUCUAGAAAGGCAGCUGCUACUCUUAGAUUUAAAAAAAAGGGAUAAAGAAAGUUGUCAUCACGGAUGCUGUCAUACCCAGCUUAUGUUGACGUAGGUAAGAGCUAAGCAAGGUUAAGAGAGAAGGGGGUAAAGGCAGUCCAUAGUCAGCAAGAAGCAGAGUCUCCAAAAUUGCUCAGACCAGCAAGCAAGCAUAACAUAGAAGUCUUGACAGGAAUCUGAGAACCGGCAUACUUCUUUUAGCCAAAUAGUGGGAAGAAGCUUCCUAACACCAUAUGGCUAUUCUCCCUGCUCUUCAUUUUGGCCAAAGCUAGACUGAGGUACAGACUUAUUAUCCCCUCAAGAUUACCAGUUCAAGAUCCAUAUUUUGUAGUAUGUUUUUAUUUAAAUAAAAAGUUUCAACCUAAAAAAAAAAAUUCAACCUAUUUAUUUCUUGAUUUUAUUUUAUAUCAAAUACACUUUAAGUAGUUCACACAAGAAUUAUUCAAUUUAUAUUAAUUCCCCACCUUUUUUAAGCUAAUGAGACAGACCUCUGAAAACCACAUUUUAAUUCCAGUUCCAUAACAGACACUGAAACCGUGAAAAUCCAGCAGUGAAGAGUAAAUGCAAGAAAGAUGGAAAAAAGAAAUAUACCUAGAAAUCUGAAAUGAAGAAAUAUCCUACUUGAUAAAAAAAAUAUUACUGAAUAGGAAGGUAUUACCAAAAGAAAGUACAUUCUGAAGAUAUUUUAAAGUGUGGUGACAGGAUAUAAAACAGCCAUGUCUCGACAGCAGUAUUCUCUACCCUUUUUACAUAUAUACCAGGGCACCCACCAAUUAUGAUAAAUGAAGAAGUCUGCCUUUGCUGCUGUUUGCUAAACAUUAUUCAUGUAUGCAGGAAAAAUGAUCCUUCAAAUGAUACUCACAGAGGAAAGGAGGCCAACUUCAAACCAUGAAUUAUGAAGCUGGCUUAUUUUGUGCAAACCAUGCUGAAGACUAACCACAGUUUAGGGCUUGGAAGUAAAGCCUAAACAAUCUCAAAGCAUCUGAUUUCCUCCUGACAAGUGGGGGUAAGGGGAGCAAAAGAGCUCGAAGCUUGUUGCAACUUGCUCACAUCAUGAUUCAAGAUGGUUUAUUGUGAUGUCAAAACUAUACUUAUAUAUGCUGCCACACAACUACUUAGGUACACUAACUGCCUCUUAAAGCAAGCCAGAACUCAAAAUAGGACCUUUUAAGCAAGCUUUUACACAAAGGUGGAAGCUGAAAUGCAACAGUACAAUCACGUUAAGUUGCAAUUCUUGCCAAACAAGAAUUCAGGUCUACCUUAGCACUAUAUACAUUUCAGCCACAUGUUUAAUGUUUCUGCACGAAAACAUUCUGGCAUGGCAAUUGCGGACCAUCCAGGGAAGCCAGUGGUGUAAGCCAUAGGUCCUCAAACUACGGCCCAGGGGCCAGAUCCGGCCAGUCAUGCCCAUUUGGACUCGCCACACCCAUGCACAUGCCCACCACCACUGCCCACCUCACCCUGCACGUGGGGAGGCGGCAGUUUGCUCACUCGG
Varanus komodoensis (Komodo dragon) is the source of this 5011-nucleotide long non-coding RNA. RefSeq lists it as uncharacterized. Lineage: Eukaryota; Metazoa; Chordata; Lepidosauria; Squamata; Varanidae. The transcript is spliced from 2 exons. The record is from RefSeq and is a predicted model, not a curated record.